This 1738-nucleotide long non-coding RNA is filed under the name Cyanistes caeruleus (blue tit). Its description in RNAcentral is "lncRNA (ENSCCEG00000002060.1)". The record is from RNAcentral. Lineage: Eukaryota; Metazoa; Chordata; Aves; Passeriformes; Paridae.
GUCCCCGCUGCCCCCCGCCCUCACCUGCCGCAGCGCCGCCUCCAGCCGGGCCUGCUUGGACAGGGAGAGUUUGCAAACCAGGUCCCAGCGGGUGCUGAGCUCCUCCACCUGCCGCUGCAGCCACUGCGAGUCCACGCUGCUGCUGCCGCGGGUCAGGUCCCGCACCGAGCGCUUCAGCGUCUUGAUGCAGCUGGCGCGUUUGCCCAGCUCCUUCUGGAACACCUGGAGGGAGGGCAGGGCGUGGGACAGGGUCUCACCUGAACCCCACUGCUGUGCAGGGCUCCCCUGAACCCCAAACCCUCACAGGAGCGGGCACGGAGCUCUGCUGAACCCCAAAACCUCACAGGAACAGGCACAGGGCUCUGCUGAACCCCAAAACCUCACAGGAACAGGCACAGGGCUCUCCUGAACCCCAAAACCUCACAGGAGCGGGCACGGGGCUCCCCUGAAUCCCAAAACCCUCACAGGAACAGGCACAGGGCUCUCCUGAACCCCAAAACCUCACAGCAGUGGGCACAGCGCUCUCCUGAACCCCAAACCUUCACAGGACCGGGCACAGGGUUCCUGUGCACCCCAAACCCUCACAGCAGCGGGCACGGGGCUCUCCUGCACCCCAAAACCUCAUGGGAGCGGUCACAGGGCUCCCCUGAACCCCGAACCCUCACAGCUCUGGGGUACGUGGGGCCCCCCAGCGCUGACACAGGGCGAGGGGCUCGAGCUGAGCUCAAGCCGGGCUGAAGCUGGGUACAAGCUGGGCUCAAACUGGGCUCAAUCUGGGCUCAAGCCGGGCACAAGCCGGGCUCAAUCUGGGCUCAAUCUGGGCUCAAUCUGGGCUCAAACCGGACACAAGCCGGGCUCAAUCUGGGCUCAAUCUGGGCUCAAGUCGGGCUCAAUCUGGGCACAAGCCGGGCUCAAUCUGGGCACAAGCCGGGCUAAAUCUGGGCACAAACCGGGCUCAAUCUGGGCUCAAACCGGGCUCAAUCUGGGCACAAACCGGGCUCAAUCUGGGCUCAAGCCGGGCACAAGCUGCUCAAGCCGGGCUCAAGCAGGGCACAAGCUGGGCUCAAACCGGGCUCAAGCUGGGCUCAAUCUGGGUUCAAGCCGGGCUCAAACUGUUCAAGCUGGGGUCAAGCCGGGCUCAAUCUGGGCUCAAACUGCUCAUUCUGGGCAAAAGCCGGGCUCAAGCCAGGCUCAAGCCAAGCUGGAGGCAGCGGGCAGUGCCCGUCCUGUGCCCGGCUCCGCUCCUGGCCCAGAGGGAGGCCGGGCUCAGCCCGGCGCUCCUGGGUCCCCUCUCGCCCCGGGGCCACUCACCUUGUGCUUGUCCAUGAGGUCCCCGACCAGGUCGCGGUCGCCCCCGACGGGCGCGUCCUCGCUGAGCUGCGGCUCGGCGCGGUACAGCCAGUCCAUCAGCGCCUGCAGCGCGUCCGUGAACUUCCCCGAGAAGAGCAGGUUCUCCUCCAGCUUGUGCUGCCUGCCGGGGGCACGGGACAUGCUGCGGGGGCACCCGGCUGCUGGGGGGCACCCCAUGGAGCCGCCCCGCGGAGCUGCAGUGUCCGCAGGGACGGGGACAGGUCCUGGCAGCGUUAUUAUGGACAGGGACAGGUCCUGGCAGUGGCAUUAUGGACUGGGACAGGUCCUGGCAGUGCCGUUAUGGACAGGGACAGGUCCUGGCAGUGCCCACAGGGACAGGGACAGGUCCUGGCAGUGGCAUUAUGGACAGGGACAGGUCCUGGCAGUG